RNAcentral lists this ribosomal RNA (445 nucleotides) under uncultured bacterium. RNAcentral's name for it is "partial 16S ribosomal RNA". It matches the Rfam family "Bacterial small subunit ribosomal RNA", at positions 354 to 796 of the family's 1533-position model. The record is from RNAcentral.
GUGAGGAAUAUUGGUCAAUGGGCGGGAGCCUGAACCAGCCAAGUCGCGUGAAGGAAGAAGGAUCUAUGGUUCGUAAACUUCUUUUGCAGGGGAAUAAAGUGCAGGACGUGUCCUGUUUUGUAUGUACCCUGAGAAUAAGGAUCGGCUAACUCCGUGCCAGCAGCCGCGGUAAUACGGAGGAUCCGAGCGUUAUCCGGCGUUAUUGGGUUUAAAGGGUGCGUAGGUGGUUUGAUAAGUCAGCGGUGAAAGUUUGCAGCUUAACUGUAAAAAUGCCGUUGAAACUGUCGGACUUGAGUGUAAAUGAGGUAGGCGGAAUGCGUGGUGUAGCGGUGAAAUGCAUAGAUAUCACGCAGAACUCCGAUUGCGAAGGCAGCUUACUAAGCUACAACUGACACUGAAGCACGAAAGCGUGGGGAUCAAACAGGAUUAGAUACCCGGGUAGUCC